Oreochromis niloticus (Nile tilapia) is the source of this 897-nucleotide long non-coding RNA. RefSeq lists it as uncharacterized. NCBI's taxonomy places the organism in Eukaryota, Metazoa, Chordata, Actinopteri, Cichliformes, Cichlidae. The transcript is spliced from 3 exons. The record is from RefSeq and is a predicted model, not a curated record.
UCAUGUCACACUACAGUGUUUGUUUCUAUAGCAACAUAAUUAACUGGAUAUCCAAGAAUAAGCCAGAAUCAAUAACUACAGAUGUUUAUUUAAUGUGGUGUUUCAGGGCAGAGCCUUUAAUUAUGAAACUUGGUCAAAGGCUCAAUUGUGAUUAUUUUUACAACAAAGUUAAAGAACGAUUUGCAGCAAAGCAGAAAAGAUGAAAAAUGUGCAAAACGUUGUUUCUGCCUCUGCACAGAGAGACAGCCCAGCAUCAAGCACUUACAGCAGCACGACUCAGUACAGACCCUGGACCAGCAGACUGACACUGCACACACCUGGACACAAGUUAACAGACUGUGGGUUGUGACCCCCCAGGUGGGACAUGGAGACGCUGCAUAGCUGUGGAUGGAAAAGUGGCCCAUGAUAAAGAGCCCAGUGACAGGUGACAUAUUAGCUCCUGUAUCAAAGUUGGCAGGUUUACUUCCUGCUGACACACCUGGUCUCCCCCAUCAGCUGUCCACCUGUUCAUCCUCCAGCAGUUUGAAAGCUUUAGCAGGGUAAACGUUGAGUCUCUGUCCUCUCUCAUGUUGGCUUGUUUGGUUUGGACCUCUGCAUGUUGUCUCCCCUCUGACCUCCUCAGCCAGUCACUCACAGCUCCUUCAGGAUAACAUGUUGGAGUCACUCUGGGAGAACUCACCUGCCUGCACACUCUGUCCACAUCUCCACCCACACCUUUCCCACUCAGUGUGGGACCACCUGUUCUCUUUGUUAAAGGGAGUUCUUCCUGCCUACUGUCACCAAGUGCUGAUCAUACCAGUGCAUGAGGAGUGAGAUUUCCAACAACAAGCAUCUGAUGGCAGCAGGAAAGCUGAGGAGAGGAGCCGUCACUGACUGUCUGUGUGUAACUGAAUUAUU